AAACUACAAAUAGAAUUGACGGGGACCCGCACAAGCGGUGGAUGAUGUGGUUUAAUUCGAUGCAACGCGAAAAACCUUACCCACCUUUGACAUGGCAGGAAUCCCGAAGAGAUUUGGGAGUGCUCGAAAGAGAACCUGCACACAGGUGCUGCAUGGCUGUCGUCAGCUCGUGUCGUGAGAUGUUGGGUUAAGUCCCGCAACGAGCGCAACCCUUGCCAUUAGUUGCUACGAAAGGGCACUCUAAUGGGACUGCCGGUGACAAACCGGAGGAAGGUGGGGAUGACGUCAAGUCCUCAUGGCCCUUAUAGGUGGGGCUACACACGUCAUACAAUGGCCGGUACAGAGGGUAGCCAACCCGCGAGGGGGAGCCAAUCCCACAAAGCCGGUCGUAGUCCGGAUCGCAGUCUGCAACUCGACUGCGUGAAGUCGGAAUCGCUAGUAAUCGCGGAUCAGCAUGUCGCGGUGAAUACGUUCCCGGGUCUU
Molecule: ribosomal RNA, 483 nt
Filed under: uncultured Allobrachymonas sp.
Lineage: Bacteria; Pseudomonadati; Pseudomonadota; Betaproteobacteria; Burkholderiales; Comamonadaceae
Description: bacterial SSU rRNA
Rfam family: Bacterial small subunit ribosomal RNA
Source: RNAcentral